Molecule: long non-coding RNA, 671 nt
Organism: Magnolia sinica
Lineage: Eukaryota; Viridiplantae; Streptophyta; Magnoliopsida; Magnoliales; Magnoliaceae
Exons: 3
Source: RefSeq, a predicted model, not a curated record
AGUGUGAUGUGAUAUGUCUAUUUCGUACAAAGGGCCAGUUGACUGAACUAGAUUUAUUUAUUUUUACCACUUUCACUGCCAAAUUUGCUAUUACAUGAUCAUUUUAAGAAUGGAUGGAUUUAUGUGCUUCUUGAUUGUAAUUAAAACCCAAAUUUGCUGGAUGGUUACUUUCAGGGUAAGCUGAUGAAUGGUUAGGAAAUAGCAGGGAAAAGGCUUUCCAAGAAUUUGGGGCAAGGGAAUGAAGAAUUCAAAAAUGAGGUUUUGUUGAUUGCAAAACUUCAACACAUGAAUCUUGUUAGGAUUAUCAAAUUGGCAGUUAUCUGCCAAUUGUUUUCUUUGGUGUAGGCCACAUGAUGAGUGGACAAGCCUGAUUUUUAUGUUGAGCAUUCUUCGUGGUGGGGGCCAAACCUUUUGGACGAGUGGGAUGUUGUACACACUUGACACUUUGGAAUUUACGCUCUAGGUGGACGGUUUGCCACAUCUUGAUGUUAGAAUAAAGUGGCCAAAUGAUCUUUACUUAAAUGGCCUUAAAGUUGGCGGCAUCCUGUGCACCUCAAUAUAUAAAUCAAAUAAGUUCAAUAAUGAGCUUCUUGAUGUCAUGGGGCAAAGAAGAUUUAGUAUUGGAGUGAUGGGGGACUACCUGAAAUGGAGUAGCUGAUACACUGAUAAAU